Molecule: ribosomal RNA, 450 nt
Filed under: uncultured bacterium
Lineage: Bacteria
Description: partial 16S ribosomal RNA
Rfam family: Bacterial small subunit ribosomal RNA
Source: RNAcentral
GUGGGGAAUUUUGGACAAUGGGCGCAAGCCUGAUCCAGCAAUGCCGCGUGCAGGAAGAAGGCCUUCGGGUUGUAAACUGCUUUUGUACGGAACGAAACGGUCCGGGUUAAUACCCUGGGCUAAUGACGGUACCGUAAGAAUAAGCACCGGCUAACUACGUGCCAGCAGCCGCGGUAAUACGUAGGGUGCAAGCGUUAAUCGGAAUUACUGGGCGUAAAGCGUGCGCAGGCGGGUUUGUAAGACAGGCGUGAAAUCCGCGGGCUCAACCUGGGAAUUGCGCUUGUGACUGCAAGGCUGGAGUGCGGCAGAGGGGGAUGGAAUUCCGCGUGUAGCAGUGAAAUGCGUAGAUAUGCGGAGGAACACCGAUGGCGAAGGCAAUCCCCUGGGCCUGCACUGACGCUCAUGCACGAAAGCGUGGGGAGCAAACAGGAUUAGAAACCCUGGUAGUCC